RNAcentral lists this transfer RNA (63 nucleotides) under Sesia siningensis. Its description in RNAcentral is "tRNA-His". Lineage: Eukaryota; Metazoa; Arthropoda; Insecta; Lepidoptera; Sesiidae. The record is from RNAcentral.
ACUUAAAUAAUUUAAAUAAAAUAUUGAUUUGUGGUGUCAAAAAUAUGAGUUUCAUUUUAGGUU